This 1309-nucleotide non-coding RNA is filed under the name Pan troglodytes (chimpanzee). The record is from RNAcentral. Lineage: Eukaryota; Metazoa; Chordata; Mammalia; Primates; Hominidae.
UCGGCCCGAAAGCUCUAGAAUGCACCCCCCUUCUUCCCCGGGGCCUUCCACCUCCGCGAGUUUUAUGACUUAAAAAACCCCACAGGCUGGUCUGAAGAGGAAGACAAACAUAAAGAUGAAGUGCUUAAUUCAAGGUCACACAAUGUCGGGGAUGGACCUCCAGAUUUCCUUACUGGUGAGACGUGGUCUUGUAACACAGUGGUUAAGAAUGUGACUUUGGAGCCAGCCUGCUAGGGGCUGAAUUCUGACUCAGCCAUUUACUAACUGUGUGACCUUAGGUCACAGAAUUUUCCACACUCCUUGACGGAGGUGCUUAACCCUUAUCCAUCAGCAUUCUCAGACAGCACCUCCGGUUAGGGACAGUAUCUGACCGUCCGACAUCCCUGCAGCCCCCAUGUGUCACACAGACUCAGCCUCAGGUAGAUGGUUUCCGUAGAUGGUGGCUUUCUUUGGACCCUUGACAUCAACCAGUUACUAUUUGACUCUUCUGCAGAACCCCCUGUUGACCCCUGCUUUGAGGUGGCAGAGUUAACACUACUCUUCGUUAUAAGCUCUCGUCUGGGGCAACUCAGAAGAACGGGACCAGAUGUGCAGAGGUAAUGAAUACCAGGGAAUCAGGAAACCACUGGAUCAGUUCUUUGAGCCACAGAACAACACUCAUCCCAGCAGCUGGGAAGCUAUCUGCAAAAGUCCAUCUGCAGAAAGGGCUUCCUGGUCUUGCGUGUGGCUGGGCCAUUUCUCUGGAUGCAGGUUUUUCAUUAUACAGUCUUCUCAAAGAAACACCUGCUCUCAACACCUUCUCGGUGACUCCAUUUCCCCUCCUCUGGGCUCCUGGAAUGCCACAAUGGCCCCACCUUAGCCAGGCAGCUGUGAUGAGAGGUGUUGACCCAACUGCCUCUCUGCUGGCUCACUGAAUCAGGUGGAAGGGGCUGGGGACAGCACAGUCUUGCAUUGUGGUUGGGGACCUGGGCCAUCCAGAGGCAGGACUGUCCAAAGGCAGGGUACUGCUGGGAUUCCGCCAGGCACUGGGUGAUGCAUGGCAUAGGGAGCUGGAGAGGGACAGGCUCUUGGCCAGGAAAAACAGCCCCAGAGCCACAGGUGUGCCAUCGAGUCUUCCUCCUCUCCCAUCCUUAAUCACUCCUGUUUGGUGACAGCACACAGCUAGGCCUGGAGCCCAGCAAAGAGCCCCUGGGUCCCAGAGGAAGUUGUUCUGGGGGCUGGAGACAAUCACAAAUGCCAGGUUUGUGAGCCCCAGACUCUGGUUCAUAGCAAGAGGCAGACUUGUGAGCAAACCACCAGAUCACACCGU